Molecule: ribosomal RNA, 719 nt
Filed under: Candida tropicalis
Lineage: Eukaryota; Fungi; Ascomycota; Pichiomycetes; Serinales; Debaryomycetaceae
Description: SSU rRNA
Rfam family: Eukaryotic small subunit ribosomal RNA
Source: RNAcentral
CUAAGUAUAAGCAAUUUAUACAGUGAAACUGCGAAUGGCUCAUUAAAUCAGUUAUCGUUUAUUUGAUAGUACCUUACUACUUGGAUAACCGUGGUAAUUCUAGAGCUAAUACAUGCUUAAAAUCCCGACUGUUUGGAAGGGAUGUAUUUAUUAGAUAAAAAAUCAAUGUCUUCGGACUCUUUGAUGAUUCAUAAUAACUUUUCGAAUCGCAUGGCCUUGUGCUGGCGAUGGUUCAUUCAAAUUUCUGCCCUAUCAACUUUCGAUGGUAGGAUAGUGGCCUACCAUGGUUUCAACGGGUAACGGGGAAUAAGGGUUCGAUUCCGGAGAGGGAGCCUGAGAAACGGCUACCACAUCCAAGGAAGGCAGCAGGCGCGCAAAUUACCCAAUCCCGACACGGGGAGGUAGUGACAAUAAAUAACGAUACAGGGCCCUUUCGGGUCUUGUAAUUGGAAUGAGUACAAUGUAAAUACCUUAACGAGGAACAAUUGGAGGGCAAGUCUGGUGCCAGCAGCCGCGGUAAUUCCAGCUCCAAAAGCGUAUAUUAAAGUUGUUGCAGUUAAAAAGCUCGUAGUUGAACCUUGGGCUUGGUUGGCCGGUCCAUCUUUCUGAUGCGUACUGGACCCAACCGAGCCUUUCCUUCUGGCUAGCCUUUUGGCGAACCAGGACUUUUACUUUGAAAAAAUUAGAGUGUUCAAAGCAGGCCUUUGCUCGAAUAUAUU